RNAcentral lists this ribosomal RNA (427 nucleotides) under uncultured bacterium. RNAcentral's name for it is "partial 16S ribosomal RNA". It matches the Rfam family "Bacterial small subunit ribosomal RNA", at positions 355 to 774 of the family's 1533-position model. The record is from RNAcentral. RNAcentral also lists the same sequence under 1 other name.
UAGGGAAUCUUCCGCAAUGGGCGAAAGCCUGACGGAGCAACGCCGCGUGAGUGAUGAAGGGUUUCGGCUCGUAAAACUCUGUUAUUAGGGAAGAACAAAUGUGUAAGUAACUGUGCACAUCUUGACGGUACCUAAUCAGAAAGCCACGGCUAACUACGUGCCAGCAGCCGCGGUAAUACGUAGGUGGCAAGCGUUAUCCGGAAUUAUUGGGCGUAAAGCGCGCGUAGGCGGUUUCUUAAGUCUGAUGUGAAAGCCCACGGCUCAACCGUGGAGGGUCAUUGGAAACUGGGAAACUUGAGUGCAGAAGAGGAAAGUGGAAUUCCAUGUGUAGCGGUGAAAUGCGCAGAGAUAUGGAGGAACACCAGUGGCGAAGGCGACUUUCUGGUCUGUAACUGACGCUGAUGUGCGAAAGCGUGGGGAUCAAACA